This 573-nucleotide ribosomal RNA is filed under the name uncultured bacterium. RNAcentral's name for it is "partial 16S ribosomal RNA". It matches the Rfam family "Bacterial small subunit ribosomal RNA", at positions 355 to 920 of the family's 1533-position model. The record is from RNAcentral.
UGGGGAAUUUUGGACAAUGGGCGAAAGCCUGAUCCAGCAAUGCCGCGUGUGUGAAGAAGGCCUUCGGGUUGUAAAGCACUUUUGUCCGGAAAGAAAUCCUUGGCUCUAAUACAGUCGGGGGAUGACGGUACCGGAAGAAUAAGCACCGGCUAACUACGUGCCAGCAGCCGCGGUAAUACGUAGGGUGCAAGCGUUAAUCGGAAUUACUGGGCGUAAAGCGUGCGCAGGCGGUUUGCUAAGACCGAUGUGAAAUCCCCGGGCUCAACCUGGGAACUGCAUUGGUGACUGGCAGGCUAGAGUAUGGCAGAGGGGGGUAGAAUUCCACGUGUAGCAGUGAGAUGCGUAGAGAUGUGGAGGAAUACCGAUGGCGAAGGCAGCCCCCUGGGCCAAUACUGACGCUCAUGCACGAAAGCGUGGGGAGCAAACAGGAUUAGAUACCCUGGUAGUCCACGCCCUAAAACGAUGUCAACUAGUUGUUGGGGAUUCAUUUCCUUAGUAACGUAGCUAACGCGUGAAGUUGACCGCCUGGGGAGUACGGUCGCAAGAUUAAAACUCAAAGGAAUUGACGGGGUC